Long non-coding RNA from Daphnia pulex (common water flea), 1025 nucleotides. RefSeq lists it as uncharacterized. NCBI's taxonomy places the organism in Eukaryota, Metazoa, Arthropoda, Branchiopoda, Diplostraca, Daphniidae. The transcript has 3 exons. The record is from RefSeq and is a predicted model, not a curated record.
CGAGUGACCAACUCUACAGGUUGAUCAGCAUUGAGCACAAGGGCGUCGUAAAAUCGAAUAAAAUUGUGAUAAUGCUCGACUGUGAUCUGUUCGUCGUCGCCGUGAAUUCCGCCUCGUGUCACUGGUGUCAAAACCGUCGGAGUGAUGCGGUAAAAGUUAGUCCCACAGUUCGACAUAGCGUCGAAGGUCCGUGUUGGCCGGUGAACAAGCUGCAAAACAGCACCAUGGUGUAAGAGGCUGGUCUCGUUGUCAGGCUCGAUUGCCACGAGAAAUUCAGUUGGAAGAAAGUUAUCUGGCCACCACCACCAAGUCAAGACCAAUAAAGUAUAAACGUUCGAUGUUACUUACUUUAAAGGACUCAGCCACCUUCCAAGUUCCGUUGGCGACCGGAACUACAUCCAGCAGAUGAGCAGCCAACAUGUAAGGAGGUAGGACAUUUUCAGCUUUAUCAUCGUCGUUACUUCCUCGAGUGUUGUAACUAGUAAAUCGUACUCGUUGAUGACAUUUACUUGAAUGGAAGGCGAAGAGUGAUGUAAAGGGAACCUGAUCGUUUUAGAAUUGGCCGUUUUUAAAAUCUAUUUCGAAAAUUUAACUAUGCGAUUGCUUUGAAGUAGUAUAUUUACUAUUUUUGAGAUAUUGAUGAAGUUGGAGCAAGGCUUUGGUUUAUUUCGUUUUUUCUUAAUGAUUUGACUCUUAAUGAUGACUCUUCAUCAGAAGGAAUUCACUAUGUUUUGAGAAAAAAAGUUUGAUGUUAGUGAAAAAUAGAAAAUGGCUAUAGUAUGUUUCGUUGGAAAUCUAGAAACGGUUGAGGAAUUGAUGUAGGCAACCUAGGCCUACCCAACAUUUAAUUACUAGAAAAACAUUCGAGAUCUCAUCACUUUCGGCUUUGUUUCUACGUGAAUUCAAGUCUAACGUGGCCGGUGUUUACUGCAAGGAAAGGAAAGAGUGGAAAUGAUUUGAUCAUUGCUUAACAUAAACAAAACAAUCUAGUGAAAAAUGUGUGGCCGUAUAUGCUAAAGGUAUGA